UACGUAGGGGGCAAGCGUUGUCCGGAUUUAUUGGGCGUAAAGAGCGUGUAGGCGGCCAUGCAGGUCAGCUGUGAAAACUCGAGGCUCAACCUCGAGACGUCGGUUGAAACCGUAUGGCUAGAGUCCGGAAGAGGAGAGUGGAAUUCCCGGUGUAGCGGUGGAAUGCGCAGAUAUCAGGAGGAACACCAAUAGCGAAGGCAGCUCGCUGGGACGGUACUGACGCUAAGGCGCGAAAGCGUGGGGAGCGAACAGG
RNAcentral lists this ribosomal RNA (253 nucleotides) under uncultured prokaryote. RNAcentral describes it as "partial 16S ribosomal RNA". It matches the Rfam family "Bacterial small subunit ribosomal RNA", at positions 524 to 776 of the family's 1533-position model. The record is from RNAcentral.